AUUGAACGCUGGCGGAAUGCUUUACACAUGCAAGUCGAACGGUAGAGGGGGCAACCCCUUGAGAGUGGCGAACGGGUGAGUAAUAUAUCGGAACGUGCCCAGUCGUGGGGAUAACGUAGCGAAAGUUACGCUAAUACCGCAUACGAUCUACGGAUGAAAGCGGGGGACUCGUAAGAGCCUCGCGCGAUUGGAGCGGCCGAUAUCAGAUUAGGUAGUUGGUGAGGUAAAGGCUCACCAAGCCAACGAUCUGUAGCUGGUCUGAGAGGACGACCAGCCACACUGGGACUGAGACACGGCCCAGACUCCUACGGGAGGCAGCAGUGGGGAAUUUUGGACAAUGGACGCAAGUCUGAUCCAGCCAUUCCGCGUGCAGGAUGAAGGCCCUCGGGUUGUAAACUGCUUUUGUACGGAACGAAAAGGUUUCUAUUAAUACUAGGAGCUCAUGACGGUACCGUAAGAAUAAGCACCGGCUAACUACGUGCCAGC
RNAcentral lists this ribosomal RNA (486 nucleotides) under uncultured bacterium. Its description in RNAcentral is "bacterial SSU rRNA". It matches the Rfam family "Bacterial small subunit ribosomal RNA", at positions 30 to 512 of the family's 1533-position model. The record is from RNAcentral.